GGUAACAGGAAACAGCUUGCUGUUUCGCUGACGAGUGGCGGACGGGUGAGUAAUGUCUGGGAAACUGCCUGAUGGAGGGGGAUAACUACUGGAAACGGUAGCUAAUACCGCAUAACGUCGCAAGACCAAAGAGGGGGACCUUCGGGCCUCUUGCCAUCAGAUGUGCCCAGAUGGGAUUAGCUAGUAGGUGGGGUAACGGCUCACCUAGGCGACGAUCCCUAGCUGGUCUGAGAGGAUGACCAGCCACACUGGAACUGAGACACGGUCCAGACUCCUACGGGAGGCAGCAGUGGGGAAUAUUGCACAAUGGGCGCAAGCCUGAUGCAGCCAUACCGCGUGUAUGAAGAAGGCCUUCGGGUUGUAAAGUACUUUCAGCGGGGAGGAAGGGAGUAAAGUUAAUACCUUUGCUCAUUGACGUUACCCGCAGAAGAAGCACCGGCUAACUCCGUGCCAGCAGCCGCGGUAAUACGGAGGGUGCAAGCGUUAAUCGGAAUUACUGGGCGUAAAGCGCACGCAGGCGGUUUGUUAAGUCAGAUGUGAAAUCCCCGGGCUCAACCUGGGAACUGCAUCUGAUACUGGCAAGCUUGAGUCUCGUAGAGGGGGGUAGAAUUCCAGGUGUAGCGGUGAAAUGCGUAGAGAUCUGGAGGA
This 648-nucleotide ribosomal RNA is filed under the name uncultured Pseudomonadota bacterium. RNAcentral's name for it is "bacterial SSU rRNA". It matches the Rfam family "Bacterial small subunit ribosomal RNA", at positions 68 to 705 of the family's 1533-position model. The record is from RNAcentral. Lineage: Bacteria; Pseudomonadati; Pseudomonadota.